Molecule: long non-coding RNA, 6170 nt
Organism: Prionailurus viverrinus (fishing cat)
Lineage: Eukaryota; Metazoa; Chordata; Mammalia; Carnivora; Felidae
Exons: 3
Source: RefSeq, a predicted model, not a curated record
UCGUAAAGAACCGAGAUAAAUUACCAGGCUCUGGCUAACGCAGAAAGGGGCGGCUUGGAAGCUGUCAGGGAAAUAGUGUGGAGCACUUUGCGCGGAAGCGAGCGAAGGGUCCAGGUGUGUCUCUGUCUGAAGGAGAUGGCAGGACUUGGUCUGAAAGACGGACGCUGUUGCCUCCGGACGGCUGCCAAAGCAAGAACGUGACCACAGAGCAGAGUGAAAUCAAAGCGCUAUGAGGGGAGAGCUAAGACAUUGUCACAUGAACUUUGUUGCCUUCUCCUCUAAGGAGAAGCUGCGGAAAUACACCCGGAUCGAAACGCCCCUGGCUCGCGUGACCCUACCCCGGGAGAAGCAGCCGAGUUACCCGACAUCGUGGUCAGCAGAAGCUGGGUCGGUGCCUGGGUGCUGCAGCUGCAGGAACUCGGUGCCUAGGAGGGCUCCUGUGCAAGGAGAGAAGCAGAGAUGCCACAUUUUUAAAGUUUCACAAAGCAUCCAGCUGCACCCAGGUUCCUGGAGCAGGAGACAAACAGAAUUAAUGUUUUAUACCUUCGGGUAUAGGUUUGAGUUUUUUCCCCCUCAUGCCAAGUAUUUAAAACCUCUAGAAACCCAUGAUUUGACAAUCAAUGAUUGCGCGAUACUUUCAAUUUGAAUAUUCAAAGGCUUAACAAAAUGGACUAUCUUCUGCAGAAAUCCUGCACACAGGCACCCCACAGACAGUCCAGAGAAACAGGGAGUGAGACCCCUGUGGGUCCUGGGCCUUGCUUUUAUUGUAUUUUAAGCAUUUUGCCCACCUUUCCACAGACAGAGCAGGAGUCCUCAAAGAUGCUCUGUAUUUCUGCCUCAAAGGCAGCUCCAGGAGCCCUGAGUGACUUAGGCUGACCUUCAUGACCACCUGAGCCAGGCCGGCUGGCCAGACCGAUUCCCACGUCCCUUGUCUCCAUUUUAAGGGAAAAUCUCAGGUUUUGGGGAGCGAACACGGCAGGCAGUAGGUUCAGCUUGGGAAGGAGUCUCGCAGGCCCCAGGUUGCAGGCCGGAGGCCUGGCAGAACGCUCAGCUGUCUGCGCGGCAUCUCCUCCUGGCCACUUGCUGCCGGCCCUGCCUUGGGUCCUGCUCUCUGUGUGCGCCCCAGACCCUGGGGUUUCAAGACAGAAUGCCAACCCAUUUGCUUCUCCGCAAGGAGCUGGGGAUGCCUGUGUGGCCUCACUCUGAGUUUUUUUCUGAGGCUGGCGUUUCUUCCUGAUGAAGUUCCCUCUUCUCUCGUGUUUCUCUGUCUUGAGCCACCCCUGCCCUGUUUGCUGCAGGAGUUUGUAUUGAGAGACGAUGUGGACAAGCUUGGGUCCCGCUCAUUUGAGCUGAGAGGACGUGGAUUUGUGUUCAGGCAUUCACACUUUGGGUGAGAGGCGGGAGGGGCUUGCGCUCGGGAUGUGGGGCCUGUAGGUCCAGGCCUAGGCCCCUCAAAAAUAACGGAACUGUGCUGAGUUGUGUUCUCCGAGCGCUUGCUGUGACUCUUCCGUGUGAUGUGGAAACUUGAGAAGACGGGAGCGGUCCAGAGAGGGAGUGAGGGCCAGGCCAGACCCUCUUCCAGCUCCUGAGGGAAGGGGGCAGCACCAGAUGACAGAGAAGCAGGAUGGGGUUCCUUUUGCAAAUGAGCCAAGACAUUCCCAUGAGGCCGGGCCAGGCGAUGGCGACGGGCCUCUGUUCCCUGAGUUCUGUGAAAUGCAAAAGCCCCAUAGGCCACCAGAAAAAUAAUCCGAGUUCCCUUGAAUGUGUCCAGUGCAGGGUAGAACGUACAUGCUGAUGGGAGAAUGGAGGGAGGCCCCUUGGGGCGACAAGACGCUGGAGUCUGUGAUGGGUAGGAGCUGCUUGGCAGAGGAUCGGGGCUGGGAACAGCUGAGAUGUUAGCUGGAGGUGGAAGGCAGCGUGGGGUGUGUCCGUUCACAGCCCAGCUGGAAUCUCUCAGCUUCCGGAGCCUCUUUCGACAGAGGCCUCUGAGUCUGUGUCCUGAGUUUCCCUGAUGGGCGUCAAGCUGGAGGACGAGACUGGUGAGGAGGGGAAGGACACUGGCAGUUCAGAGAGCCCAUUGGCUCUCCCCCAGCCCUGCCCGGUCUGGGCAUCGCUCCUUCCAACGGAAUUGAGAACAGAACUGUGGACUUGGGGACGAGGGUCUCUUGCCCUCAGAGUUUCGAGUGUCUUCCUCCUUUUCUUGUUUUCCACUUAGUUUUUUGUUUGCUUUUAAAAAUCUUCCUCUCUGUCUUUUGGACUUUCUAUUUACUUUUUUCCCCAAGUGUCUUUUUCUUUGUCUCGCUUCCUGUCACUGCUUUCCUCUGUUUCUUGACUGCAUUGCUGUUUUUCUCCCUGGGCCCUUGAGUGUGUCAGUUUCCCUCUGUUCUGGGGUGCUUUCUCAUUUUUUUCAGGCUUACUCUCCUUGCUGACCUCUCCUUUUGCGUGGAGAUGGACAGAGGUUGUCGGAGGUCACUGAGUUCCCUUGGCAACAUCACUGAAGCUGAUGCUGAUGAUCGGUACGUGAUGUUUGCAGAGGGCAGGUGGGGGGUCAGGGACGGCAAGAGAUGAGGUCCUUGGAAGUCACAGGGUCUUUGAGACAGCGAGGAAGCUCGGUCCCUUCCUUGAGAAGUCUCUGCCUGAACCAUGGCAGCCGUUCUGGGGGCUUCUGUGUUGGCCCUGCUGCCAGGGAUGGAUGUCCCAGGGCUGUCGUUGGUGAGCGACUUCAAGAAAAUUGGGUUUCCUCAGGCCUCAGCCCUGUUUGGAGAAAUAUGUCUCCCAGUUUUUACCCCAGUAUGAAUGGAAUUUUGUUUCCUGCUCUUUCUGUAAUUGCAAAACCCCAGCCCAGAUAUUUCAUGUCCAAAUAUCAUGCUUGUGGAUGCAAGGGGGUGUUCUUUCUAAUGAGUCCUGUGAAUCUUUCCCACGGAUCUGCAUGUGUCAUGAAGUCUGGAGUAACCAGGUCUACCCUGAGACCCCAUUGAGUUGGAUGGUCCUCACAGGAGACUUGUUUCAAGAAGUUGUCAUUUACUGAGUGUUUAUUGGAUAUCAGGCACCGCAUUGUACAGCCUCCCCCUUUCACAGAUGAGGCUCAGAGAGGGGUAAGCAAGAUGCCCAAGGUUAUUGAGCACAUAAAUGGCAGGAAUGGGUCUCAAACCUUGACAAGUCUGAUACUAAAGGUCUUGCCCUUAACUAUCGUUGUCUUCCUGAUCUUUUAUCAUAGGACUUUCAAAGCUUUUUGACUUCAACCCAUAAUAAGAAAUUCAUUUUACAUGUUCACAUGCUAUACGGCCACAUCUACAUGUUUAUUAAACUCCUCACGAAACAACGUACGCCCGUGGAUAAGAGGCAUUCUGACAUUUGCCAUCCCAUCUUGUCCAUUUCAUUCUAUUCAUGAAACAUUUAUGUCGGUUGGGAGUCGCUGAGAUAAUUUGCUGGCCCACUAAUGAGCUGUGACCAGCCCUGGAGAGAUGCUACAUGCAAGACAAACACACUUGUCAGUGGUGUGCGUGUGAAAGUAUUCGGGACUGUUUUACUGUCGGGGUGUGUGAAGGGACACACAGGGCAGCAUGCAGACUGGAAAGCAUUCUGUAAGGACUGGGGACACAGAACCCUGAAGGAGACUGGCCGGCGGAGAGGGUGAGCUGUUCACUAAGCUAAUUAUAGUUUGUGCUUCUCAGACUAGCAACUCUUCCCUCUUGCGGGGGGCAUUGUCACCUCCAGGGUAUCUGCCCUGAAGUCCUGAUAAUCAUUCUGGGGUUUUAAUAAAAGGCUGAAAAAAAUGUUGUGAGCUUUCAACAGCCUUUAACAAGCUCACCUGCUUAAAAAUCUAACACAGGGUCCUGAAUUUUGGAUGUUGAAAGGGACCCUUGAGGUGCCAAGAGAGACUUGGAGCCUUUCUCCAACAUUCCUGCUGGUGAUCAUCCAGCCUCUGGCUCCCUCCGCUGCCUGGCUGAGCCCCUGGCCCCUGAUGGACGUGGGUUAAGGCAAUGGGAACCGACUUUGUAAGGGAGCAUGUUCCACCAUUAGCCUGCUUUAAACACAAUGAUCAUUGACUGAGCCAAAAUCCAAUUAUGUGUUAGUUGAGCACCAACUGUUCUCUCACUUCCACUCUCUCAUUGUUUGGUUCGUUCACUGAUUCAUGCUUCCAACAGCAUAUACUGAUUAUGAGUAUACAUGACACUGAGAUCAUGACCUGAGCCGAAGUUGGACACUUAACCGACUGAGCCACCCAGGCGCCCCUGCCCCAAGCCAUUUCUUUUUGAGGCUUAUUAUCUGUAGUUUCUCUAGUCUUUCAUAUAUUCUAGUUUUUCAGAUCUCUGAGCCACUGAGCCUGAGAAACCCUUUAGUGUAUCAGAGACCUUCUUAGAGUCACUGAACAUCCAGGGUAAUGGGAAUAGAAUACAUUUAUUUUAAAGGUUUUAAAUGGAAUAUUGAACUGAAUUUCUUCAGCAGGCUUUCGUAUGCAAAUGACACUGGUGAGCAUUCUAUUUUACCCCCAAAGUAGGAGAUUUCAUGAAUAUGAAAAGACUUUCAGUAUAAGGAAGGAGGAGUUUAUUCCCUCCAAAUUUGACUACAGCUCUAAAAUUCUCUUUAUUAAUGCAAAGUUCUUUUGUCAUUUUGCCUUUGGGACACUGUUACCAAACCUUGGGGGAAAUAUCAAGUUCCAAAAACAUGGUGGACACGAGUACUUGCUGGGUCCAGAGUGAGUGUUUGGUCCAUAUGAAAACGACCAGGAAGACUUACAGAUGGAGGUUGUUUAAUGAUUUGUGAUAACUCAGUCUCCUGCCGUAAAACAUAUCCAAACUUUUAACUUUUCCUGAAGAAGCUUCUGUAGGGAACAAGCAUUUGCUAAUUUAUCAUUUAAAUAAGGAAAAUAUUAUCAGACACUGCUUGAAAAGUUCACCUUUUACUUAAAACAUUUUAUUAUGCCAUAUAAAAACAUAGAAAGAUGACUGUGAUAAAAACCAAUGAAUAUAUUACCAAGGUUAAGAAAUAAAACAGUUGAGUGAUCUUUCAUUUAUGACUAAAUUAAUUUACUAAGCAUUAAACUUUUGGAUUAUUCCACUCAAGGUAUUUCAUCAGGAAGAAGGCCAGUAGGGACAUUUAUCAGUUUUCUUAAUGCAAAGGAGCUAAUGCUUAGAUAUUUUUUUUCUCUACAUCUUCUUCCUUUUGGAACUUGUAAAGAUCUUAUACUGUCCUCCUCUUUCAGCUUAUAAAUGCACUGACAAUGAUGUUGCAUACUGCAAAUCCACACAUCUUAUUUACUGGAGUGAAAGAGUAGAGGACACUUCUGUAUCGGAGAUCAAAGAUAACAUGGUGUUAUCAUUGACAGAUAAUUAUAGAAGAUUUUAUUAUUAUUUAUUUAACCUGAUCUUUAGGGAUUCUAGUUCCUUAUCGAUUUAUCAUAUUUGUUUUAAUCACAGCAGAGAAAACACCCAAUGUUGAAUAACUUUGAUUUAUAAGAUUUCUUAGCAACAUAUUGUGCUAUGUAUACUAUGUAGAUACUAAAUGAAUAUGUGGACAUUUUCUGUGUGCUACAUCAGAGUUCAGUAGUAUUCUUUGAGAUAUUUAAAAAUACGAAGUCAAUCAUGUUAAAUAUAUUACCAUUAACACCCAGUAUCUACUACUGCCAUCAACAUUCGCACAGAGUUUGGCUAAUGUUAGGUAAGAAACAUGGUAGUGUUUUCUCAUACAUCAGUCUCAGAGAACUGUCGCCUGUAGUGUCAGGAUGCAAACAGUUAUUCAUUUUUGUGGUGUUAUUUUAGUUCAGUUUAACAAAGAUAUUACUGAGCACCUACAACAUGCUGGGCACUAAGCCAGACACAUUGAUGAGCCACUUGUGAGUGCUCUGCUUGAUGAGUCUAGUCAGAGAAUCACUCUUUACCCAGAAUGAUUGAUUUUGCAUUUAAACCCUCUACAGUCGGUCGUUACUGAAUACAAUCUGUAAAGGCGCAGACUGAUGUUUUAAAUAGAAAGGAUACUUGAGACAGAACAUAACGACGAAACCUAAAGGGAGUAUGAUUUUGGUGUGUGGUUGGUAGAAUCACUAUAGUGUAAUGUGACUUAAACCUUGGAUCAAUCUAUACUUACUUCAGUUUUUUAAGUGUAACUGAUGUCUUCUUUCUUACGACUGUACUGUUUAGAUUCACAUAUUAAAAAAUGGAUCAAGGGUG